Molecule: non-coding RNA, 89 nt
Organism: Paraphoma chrysanthemicola
Lineage: Eukaryota; Fungi; Ascomycota; Dothideomycetes; Pleosporales; Phaeosphaeriaceae
Source: the annotation of a GenBank genome assembly
GGCCUUAUGGCGCAAUGGUAGCGCGUCAGAUUCCAGUACCCUCCGCCGGAAAUUCCUGAAGGUUUUGCGUUCGAGUCGCAAUAGGGUCA